CAGCAGCCGCGGGAAUACGAAGGGGGCUAGCGUAGUUCGGAAUUACUGGGCGUAAAGCGCACGUAGGCGGAUAUUUAAGUCAGGGGUGAAAUCCCAGAGCUCAACUCUGGAACUGCCUUUGAUACUGGGUAUCUUGAGUAUGGAAGAGGUUAGUGGAAUUGCGAGUGUAGAGGUGAAGUUCGUAGAUAUUCGCAGGAACACCAGUGGCGAAGGCGGCUAACUGGUCCAUAACUGACGCUGAGGUGCGAAAGCGUGGGGAGCAAACAGGAUUAGAUACCCGGGUAGUCCCUGUCUCUUAUAC
RNAcentral lists this ribosomal RNA (301 nucleotides) under uncultured bacterium. RNAcentral describes it as "partial 16S ribosomal RNA". It matches the Rfam family "Bacterial small subunit ribosomal RNA", at positions 509 to 807 of the family's 1533-position model. The record is from RNAcentral.